GCCGAUGUAGCUUAGUAGGUUAUAGCACGUGAUUUGUAAUCUCGGGGUCGAGGGUUCGAAUCCCUCCAUCGGCU
This 74-nucleotide transfer RNA is filed under the name Homalodisca vitripennis (glassy-winged sharpshooter). Its description in RNAcentral is "tRNA-Thr". It matches the Rfam family "tRNA". Rfam says of the family: Transfer RNA (tRNA) molecules are approximately 80 nucleotides in length. Their secondary structure includes four short double-helical elements and three loops (D, anti-codon, and T loops). Further hydrogen bonds mediate the characteristic L-shaped molecular structure. tRNAs have two regions of fundamental functional importance: the anti-codon, which is responsible for specific mRNA codon recognition, and the 3' end, to which the tRNAs corresponding amino acid is attached (by aminoacyl-tRNA synthetases). tRNAs cope with the degeneracy of the genetic code in two manners: having more than one tRNA (with a specific anti-codon) for a particular amino acid; and 'wobble' base-pairing, i.e. permitting non-standard base-pairing at the 3rd anti-codon position. Lineage: Eukaryota; Metazoa; Arthropoda; Insecta; Hemiptera; Cicadellidae. RNAcentral also lists the same sequence under 3 other names. The record is from RNAcentral.